GUUCCCGUGGUGUAGUGGUUAUCACGUGCGCCUCACACGCACAAGGUCCCCGGUUCGAUCCCAGGCGGGAACA
This 73-nucleotide transfer RNA is filed under the name Dermacentor silvarum. RNAcentral's name for it is "transfer RNA valine (anticodon CAC)". Lineage: Eukaryota; Metazoa; Arthropoda; Arachnida; Ixodida; Ixodidae. The record is from RNAcentral.